UCCUACGGGAGGCAGCAGUGGGGAAUAUUGGACAAUGGGCGAAAGCCUGAUCCAGCAAUACCGCGUGUGUGGAGAAGGCCUUCGGGUUGUAAAGCACUUUCAAUUGGGAGGAAAACCUACCGGUCAAUACCCGGUAGCUUGACAUUACCUUUAGAAGAAGCACCGGCUAACUCCGUGCCAGCAGCCGCGGUAAUA
RNAcentral lists this ribosomal RNA (195 nucleotides) under uncultured Gammaproteobacteria bacterium. RNAcentral describes it as "partial 16S ribosomal RNA". It matches the Rfam family "Bacterial small subunit ribosomal RNA", at positions 337 to 525 of the family's 1533-position model. The record is from RNAcentral. Lineage: Bacteria; Pseudomonadati; Pseudomonadota; Gammaproteobacteria.